This 450-nucleotide ribosomal RNA is filed under the name uncultured bacterium. RNAcentral describes it as "partial 16S ribosomal RNA". It matches the Rfam family "Bacterial small subunit ribosomal RNA", at positions 354 to 796 of the family's 1533-position model. The record is from RNAcentral.
GUGGGGAAUAUUGGACAAUGGGCGAAAGCCUGAUCCAGCCAUGCCGCGUGUGUGAAGAAGGUCUUCGGAUUGUAAAGCACUUUAAGUUGGGAGGAAGGGCAGUAAGUUAAUACCUUGCUGUUUUGACGUUACCGACAGAAUAAGCACCGGCUAACUUCGUGCCAGCAGCCGCGGUAAUACGAAGGGUGCAAGCGUUAAUCGGAAUUACUGGGCGUAAAGCGCGCGUCGGUGGUUUUGUAAGUUGGAGGUGAAAUCCCCGGGCUCAACCUGGGAACUGCCUCCAAAACUGCAUGACUAGAGUACGGUAGAGGGUAGUGGAAUUUCCUGUGUAGCGGUGAAAUGCGUAGAUAUAGGAAGGAACACCAGUGGCGAAGGCGACUACCUGGACUGAUACUGACACUGAGGUGCGAAAGCGUGGGGAGCAAACAGGAUUAGAAACCCUUGUAGUCC